GACGAACGCUGGCGGCGUGCUUAACACAUGCAAGUCGAACGAGAAAGCCCUUCGGGGUAAGUACAGUGGCGAACGGGUGAGUAACACGUGGGCAACCUGCCCCAGAGAGCGGGACAACCCGGGGAAACCCGGGCUAAUACCGCAUGAUGCGUCUCCACUUAAGUGGAGCCGCCAAAUGGUAGCUUCGGCCUCCGCUCUGGGAUGGGCCCGCGCCGGAGUAGCUAGUUGGUUGGGGUAACGGCCCACCAAGGCGACGAUCCGUAGCUGGUCUGAGAGGACGAUCAGCCACACUGGGACUGAGACACGGCCCAGACUCCUACGGGAGGCAGCAGUGGGGAAUCUUGCGCAAUGGGCGAAAGCCUGACGCAGCAACGCCGCGUGGGGGAAGAAGGCCUUUGGGUUGUAAACCUCUUUCAGUAGGGACGAAGCUUCCGGGGUUAAUAGCCUACGGGGUGACGGUACCUACAGAAGAAGCCCCGGCUAACUACGUGCCAGCAGCCGCAGUAA
Molecule: ribosomal RNA, 507 nt
Filed under: uncultured bacterium
Lineage: Bacteria
Description: partial 16S ribosomal RNA
Rfam family: Bacterial small subunit ribosomal RNA
Source: RNAcentral